This 822-nucleotide ribosomal RNA is filed under the name Pseudomonadota bacterium. Its description in RNAcentral is "bacterial SSU rRNA". It matches the Rfam family "Bacterial small subunit ribosomal RNA", at positions 39 to 876 of the family's 1533-position model. Lineage: Bacteria; Pseudomonadati; Pseudomonadota. The record is from RNAcentral.
GCGGCGUGCUUAACACAUGCAAGUCGAGCGGUAAGGCCUUUCGGGGUACACGAGCGGCGAACGGGUGAGUAACACGUGGGUGAUCUGGCCCUGCACUCUGGGAUAAGCUUGGGAAACUGGGUCUAAUACCGGAUAUGACCACAGCAUGCAUGUGUUGUGGUGGAAAGAUUUAUCGGUGCAGGAUGGGCCCGCGGCCUAUCAGCUUGUUGGUGGGGUAAUGGCCUACCAAGGCGACGACGGGUAGCCGACCUGAGAGGGUGACCGGCCACACUGGGACUGAGACACGGCCCAGACUCCUACGGGAGGCAGCAGUGGGGAAUAUUGCACAAUGGGCGGAAGCCUGAUGCAGCGACGCCGCGUGAGGGAUGAAGGCCUUCGGGUUGUAAACCUCUUUCAGCAGGGACGAAGCGUGAGUGACGGUACCUGCAGAAGAAGCACCGGCUAACUACGUGCCAGCAGCCGCGGUAAUACGUAGGGUGCGAGCGUUGUCCGGAAUUACUGGGCGUAAAGAGUUCGUAGGCGGUUUGUCGCGUCGUUUGUGAAAACCCGGGGCUCAACUUCGGGCUUGCAGGCGAUACGGGCAGACUUGAGUGUUUCAGGGGAGACUGGAAUUCCUGGUGUAGCGGUGAAAUGCGCAGAUAUCAGGAGGAACACCGGUGGCGAAGGCGGGUCUCUGGGAAACAACUGACGCUGAGGAACGAAAGCGUGGGUAGCAAACAGGAUUAGAUACCCUGGUAGUCCACGCCGUAAACGGUGGGCGCUAGGUGUGGGUUCCUUCCACGGGAUCUGUGCCGUAGCUAACGCAUUAAGCGCCCCGCCUGG